RNAcentral lists this ribosomal RNA (441 nucleotides) under uncultured bacterium. Its description in RNAcentral is "partial 16S ribosomal RNA". It matches the Rfam family "Bacterial small subunit ribosomal RNA", at positions 338 to 795 of the family's 1533-position model. The record is from RNAcentral.
CCUACGGGAGGCAGCAGUGGGGAAUAUUGGGCAAUGGAGGAAACUCUGACCCAGCAACGCCGCGUGAAGGAUGACGGUUUUCGGAUUGUAAACUUCUGUCGCGAGGGAUGAAGAAUGACGGUACCUCGUAAGAAAGCCCCGGCAAACUACGUGCCAGCAGACGCGGGAAUACGUAGGGGGCGGGCGUUGUCCGGAAUGACUGGGCGUAAAGGGAGUGUAAGGGGGAUAUUAAGUUAUGUGUGAAAGCCCGGGGUUCAACCGCCGAAUUGCACAUGAAACUGGUAUGCUGGAGUGCAGGAGAGGUAAGAGGAAUUCGCGGUGUAGCGGUGGAAUGCGUAGAGAUCGGGAAGAACACCGGAGGCGAAGGCGACAUACUGGACUGUAACUGACGCUGAGGCUCGAAAGCGUGGGGAGCAAACAGGAUUAGAUACCCGAGUAGUC